Molecule: small nucleolar RNA, 137 nt
Organism: Nannospalax galili (Upper Galilee mountains blind mole rat)
Lineage: Eukaryota; Metazoa; Chordata; Mammalia; Rodentia; Spalacidae
Source: Ensembl
CUGGCCCUGAAUCAAGGCCAACAGUUUGCUGAAGCUAAUGGUUUCAAGCAGGUGCCUAAAGAAAUGUCUUUCUGUGACCUGUUGGCCAUUUCAGAAAUUUAGAAAUGUAAUGGUCAAUUCAUUAGAAACAUGUGGCU